GCCGGGAGAGGAGCCAGGGGUCAUGGCAGCGCCCGCGGACCCAAGGCGGCUGUGCCGACUAGUUCAGGAAGGCCGGCUGUGUGCCCUGCGGGAGGAGCUAAGGGCGGCGGGGCGCGCCGGCUGCGCGGGGCUGGCCAGGGACACCCUUCUGCAUUUCGCCGCGCGCCACGGCCGCCGGGAAAUCCUGGCCUAUCUGAUCGAGGCCUGGGACCUGGACAUCGAGGCCGCCAACCGAGACUACAAGCGGCCUCUGCACGAGGCUGCCUCCAUGGGCCACCGGGACUGCGUGCGGUACCUGCUGGGCCGAGGGGCCGCGGUCGACAGCCUGAAGAAGGCCGACUGGACUCCUCUGAUGAUGGCUUGCACAAGGAGGAAUCUUGAGGUGGUCCAGGACCUCGUGGAGCACGGCGCCAAUCCACUCCUGAAGAACAAAGAUGGCUGGAACAGUUUCCACAUUGCCAGCCGAGAAGGCGACCCUCUGAUCCUCCAGUACCUGCUCGCUGUUUGCCCAGCUGCCUGGAAGACAGAGAGCAAAAUCGGGAGAACACCGCUGCACACGGCAGCAAUGCAUGGCUGUUCAGAAGCAGUAGAGGUGCUUCUUCAGAGGUGCCAGUAUGAACCGGACCGCAGAGACAAGUGUGGCCUCACACCCUUCAUGGAUGCCAUUCAGUGCGGACACAUCGACGUAGCCAGGCUGCUCCUCGAAAAACACAAGGCUUGCGUUUCUGCUGAGGACUCCCUGGGGGCCCAGGCCAUCCACCGGGCAGCAGUCACUGGGCAGAAUGAGGCCAUCCAAUUCUUGGUCUCUGAGCUUGGCAUCAACGUAGAUGUGAGAGCAGCCUCCACCCACCUCACAGCACUUCACUACGCAGCUAAGGAAGGACACGUAAGCACAAUCCAGACACUCUUAUCCUUGGGUGCCGACAUCAACGCCAAGGACGAAAGAAAUCGAUCAGCUGCAGUUACUGUUCCCUGUUGCUCCAGAGAUGUCUUCGUGUCCCUGCCUUUGGGUCUGAGGAUGGCCUGUUACAUGCAAUCCCUUCUUGCAGGUGGGACAGAAAGACCCGUCUGGGGCUGCCCUUCUCCCCUCAACACACACAUGAAGCAGCUUUUUCUUUGUAGUGACUGCACACAGACCCUCCAGGCCACUGCUACGCUACAAGAAGUGUCAAGUGUAGAAGCUGCAGACCCAUCACCUAUUCAAACAUAAAGAUAGACUCGGGGACUUGGAUUAUUAUGAGAACAGAGAUGCUAAACUCCUAGUAGGUAAUAAGUAUUUUAUUCUUUUGUGAGAAAAUAUGUCAUAUUAAGAAAUUAAAUUGUUUAUUUAGCAAACUCAACAAUGGAUAUUUAAUACUAUUAGUAUUUAUUAAAAUGCUUAUGAGGCAUUUAAAAAUAUUGUAUAUCAGACUUGCUAAAAAUUGAAAUUCAAGUAAUUAAGUUUAUUAUGAGUAAAGAGGAAUUGUGGAAAGGGGCACAGUGCCUUCUGGAAACUUUCUUUUAAAAACAGCUUUAUAUAAUUCACACUCCAUACAACCUACCCAUUUAAAGUGUGGUUUCUAGUGUCUUCGUAGAUACUUACAGCUCUCACCGACUUUAGAACAUCUUGAGUUAAUUUUAGAACAUCCUCAUUGCUCAAAAGGAAACCCCAUGCCUUUGAGCCAUUAGGUCCCUCCUCCCCACUCCAACCGCCAGCCCCUGCAACUGCUAAUUUACAUUCUACCUCUAUGGAUUUGCCAUUUCUGGACAUUUCACAUCAACGGAAUCAUACGUCAAGUGGUCUUUUGUGACUGCUUCUUUCAUUGGCUCAAUAUUCCCAAGGUUCGUCCAGGUUGGAGCAUGUGUCAGCAUUUCAUUCCUUUUUAUGACCAAAUAAUAUUCCAUUGUGUAGAUAAACCACAGUUUGUUUAUCCGUUCAUCAGCUGAUGGACAUUUGGGUUGUUUUCACCUUUUGGCUGUUACGAUUAAUGCUGCUAUGAACAUUCUUUCAUAAGUUUGUGUGGACAUGUGUCUUUGUUUCUCUUGGCUGUAUACCUAAGAGUGCUGGCUCCUAUGACAGCUCUGUGUGUAAGUAGGUCCAGUGUAUAAGUUCACUUGUUUGAGGAGCUGUCAGGCUGUGUGACAAAGUGGCUGCUCCAUUUCGAGUUCCCCUCGGCAGUGUGUGAGGGUUCCGAUUUCGCCACAUCCUCAGUAGCACCUGUUAGCGUCUGUCUUUUCAACUCUGGCCAUCCUGUUGGAUGUGAAGUGGUUUCGAUUUGCAUUUCCCUGAUGACUAAUGAUGUUAAACAUUUUCGUGUGCUUGUUGGCCAUGUGUACAUCUCAGUUGGAGAAACAUCUGUUCGACCCCUUUGCCCAUUUUUUAAUUGGCUUGUUGUUUUUUUCAGUUGAAGCGUAAUUGAGGUGUACAACGUAGUGAUUUGAUAUUUUUAUACAUAAAAUGAUCAUCAGUUGGCCUGUCUUUUUAUAAUGAAAUGUAAAUAAACCUUCUG
Non-coding RNA from Kogia breviceps (pygmy sperm whale), 2489 nucleotides. The record is from RefSeq and is a predicted model, not a curated record. Lineage: Eukaryota; Metazoa; Chordata; Mammalia; Artiodactyla; Physeteridae.